UUCAAGCUAUUGCAUAAGGAGGGGUCUUGCGUACCAUUAGCUUGUAGGUGGGGUAAUGGCCCACCUAGGCGACGAUGGUUAACGGGUCUGAGGAGGAUGAUCCGUCACACUGGCACUGGAAUACGGGCCAGACUCCUACGGGAGGCAGCAGUGAGGAAUAUUGCGCAAUGGGGGAAACCCUGACGCAGCGACGCCGCGUGAGUGAGGAAGGCCUUCGGGUCGUAAAGCUCUGUCAAGAGGGAAGAAGUGCAUGGUGGCUAAUAUCCAUCAUGUUUGACGGUACCUCUAAAGGAAGCACCGGCUAACUCCGUGCCAGCAGCCGCGGUAAUACGGAGGGUGCAAGCGUUGUUCGGAAUUACUGGGCGUAAAGGGCGCGCAGGCGGUUGUACAAGUCAGACGUGAAAGCCCACGGCUUAACUGUGGAAGUGCGUUUGAAACUGUACGACUUGAGUACCAGAGGGGAAAGUGGAAUUCCCGGUGUAGAGGUGAAAUUCGUAGAUAUCGGGAGGAAUAUCCGGUG
This 520-nucleotide ribosomal RNA is filed under the name uncultured bacterium. Its description in RNAcentral is "bacterial SSU rRNA". It matches the Rfam family "Bacterial small subunit ribosomal RNA", at positions 201 to 715 of the family's 1533-position model. The record is from RNAcentral.